CCGCAGAGGUGGGUUUGCCUCAACAGGUGCCCUGGACCUGGCCUCAGAGCCCUUUGCUCCUCUCGGGGUGUGACAUACGUGGGACAGACCUCCCCUUCCUCCUCCUGUCAACUAAGCUCCAGGUACCGAACCAUACCCUGCUUAUCUCUGUUCCUGCCACAGCACAUUGCUUAUCAGGAGCUGCACACCUUGGGAGAUGGGAGAGAUGCGGAUGAGAGGGUUAAUGUGUCCAUACACCUCGAGAAUCACAGCCGUUCAGGGGCCGCGGUGCGUGAGCGAGCUCGUGCGCGCGCGCGCUUCCUCCUGCAGAUGAGAGAUGCCACAGCCCGGGGUCCGGACUCUCAGUGUCCCCGCAGGGGUGCACAGCAUUCACAAUAUCUGGGCCCAGAGGCCGGAAAGGAGAGGAGGGCAGCCCGGCGGGUCCACGUAGUGUGGGCAGGACGGAGAGUUGCAGCGGUGGGGGCAGAGGUCUGACCUCCUCCGUGGGGCCGGGCAGCCCUGCUUCGUGAAAGCCAGCAACAUCUUCUUAGUUCUUUUCUCCUGUACUUACUUAUUCAUCCUCCCAGAACUUUCCUGUACAGUAAGAGAACAGCGAGGCAGAGUACAAGAAAGUAGAGCUCAGUUCAUCUGAUGAUCUGCCCACACUCGCUGACUCACUCAUAAUGGCCCCUCAGAUGUCAGUUUCUUGCUAAGACAUUUGGAAAAAUUUCUGCUUCUGAAUCACAAGCAAACACUAUAAUUCAACAAUCUUCUCUGAGUUAUUCAAGGAACUUCAAUGCACUCAGAAGUGGAAGGAUCAGGGGCGGAUGAAAUCAAUGAAAUCUCUGAGUACUCUGUUUUUCUCCUAAUUACAUUUCAUUUGCCCGGCAGAGGUGGGGGGAGCUCCAUCUGACCACUGAGGGGCAUCUCCUGGGGGAAGUCUGGAAGCAGCCGAUUUGGGGUUUCUGGGUGACACUUGGUUUUUCUUAUCAUCUUCGUUCUGUUCCCAUAAUAAAGCCAAGUGUCAUGCAGGAAAAGGC
This 1019-nucleotide long non-coding RNA is filed under the name Zalophus californianus (California sea lion). Its description in RNAcentral is "lncRNA (ENSZCAG00015008795.1)". Lineage: Eukaryota; Metazoa; Chordata; Mammalia; Carnivora; Otariidae. The record is from RNAcentral.